This is a long non-coding RNA of Nerophis lumbriciformis (worm pipefish), 1335 nucleotides long. RefSeq lists it as uncharacterized. NCBI's taxonomy places the organism in Eukaryota, Metazoa, Chordata, Actinopteri, Syngnathiformes, Syngnathidae. The record is from RefSeq and is a predicted model, not a curated record.
UAAUAUUGCAAUAUUUUCUCGUAAAAUUAUGACUUUUUUUAAUGCAAAACCCUGACAUUUGUCAUAUAAAUUUCUGACUUUUAUCGCAAUAUUGCCAAUUUUUUUUGGUUGUUCUUGUAAAAUAGUGACAUUUUUUGGAGUAAAAUUGUGACUUUUGUCCUCAUUUCGCCGAGUAAAAUUCAGAUUAUUAUAAUGAUAUCGCCAACAUUUUUAAGUUUUCCUGUAAAAUUGCGACUUGUCGAGUAAAAUUCCGACUCGUUUCGUAAAAUUGCCAACAUUUUAAGCUUGACUUGUAAAAUUGCGACUGUCAUUGAGUACAAUAUUGCACAAAUGUUCAGGUUUUUUUUGUAAAAUUUUGACUCGCGUUGAGUAAAAUUACGACUUUUGUUAUAACACUGCCAAGUUUUUCUUGUGAAAUUCUGACCUUUUUCUUGUGAAUUUCCAACUCAUUUUUUUAUAUUUGCAUAGUAUGUAUAUAUUAUUAAUGUUGUAAAUACACUUCUUUAUCCAUCUAGAAAGGGUGGUCCUAAAGAGGUUUUCGGAGGUUUCAAGAAGGUAACAAAUACAAGAGUGUGUGCGUGUGUGUGUGUGUGUGUGUGUGUGUGUGUGUGUGUGUGUGUGUGUGUGUGUGUGUGUGUGUGUGUUAGGUGUCGUAAGCAGAGACGAGGGUCUUGGGGAGGAAAGGAGACCAGACAGACAGACAGAUGGCAGCUGACAAAUGUUUUCAGACUAGCCCAAUUAAAAGAAUGUUUGCUUCUUCCUGUGGACGCCUUGCUGAGGGGAGGCGGUGGUCCUGCCAUUGUGUUUGCCGAGGGCUUCCAAAUCAAAGAGUGCAGGAAAUGCAUGUUGGGACUGUCGUUUCCGCCCUCCUUCUCCCCGGACCCCUGAGCAGACUUUACAGGAGCCAGGAGGUCAAGCAGGAAAGACACAAGGGUGGUUCCUGAUCAGGGAUAUCCUGCCUUUCUGAUGCGUCGCACCGCUUUUAAAUGCGUCUAAACCCUCAAUCCUUAUUUCAUCAGCGGCCAGAGAAAGAGAGAUGGAGAGAGGGGAAAACACCUGAAGUGACGGAUGAGGCUUCUCUUUCUCCCUCCUUUUCAAAAGGCCUUCACACAAGGCCGCCAUCGUUAGUGGGGACACGUCGUUUCCGAGGGCGAUGGCGGUGGAAGACGCUCCGGAUCUUGGCCUUAUUGUGUAAGUGACUGCACAAAGUCUCCCCUUCUUCAUCUCUCCUCCCGCAUCCUGUCGGUUGCUUUCGCUACUAAAAGGCUCCUCUGUGACCUCAGCUGCACGCUUUUAGUGCGCUGGCGUGCAGGUAAAGCCAACCAUGAAGCCAUU